This 630-nucleotide ribosomal RNA is filed under the name Triticum aestivum (bread wheat). RNAcentral describes it as "partial small subunit ribosomal RNA". Lineage: Eukaryota; Viridiplantae; Streptophyta; Magnoliopsida; Poales; Poaceae. The record is from RNAcentral.
AUGAAUCCAUGUCGCAUGCCCCGCCUGCCACCUCUACUUCACGAAGGGAUUUUUCAAACACCCCAAGCCACCACAGAUUUUGUCAGGAGGUUUAUAGCUGAGCUUGAGGCGCUGGACAACAAGCAAGAACCAGCGGCAAGGGGCGGACCCUCUCGGGUCAGGCCACGAGCCCCUCCUCCGGGAUGGGUCAAAAUUCACGUCGAUGCUGGAGUCAGACCUGGGAGGGGAGGAUCAGCUGCGGCGGUUUGUUGGGAACAACAAGGCAACUAUCUGGGUAGCUCAUCGCUGGUCAUUGCAGGAGUGGACGACCCAGCGAUUCUGGAAGCGAUUGCAUGUCAUGAAGCACUAGCCCUUGCCGAAGAUCUCAAUUUGAACAACCUGAUGAUCGCCUCUGACGCGAAGCAAGUGGUUAGUGACAUCUCAAAGUCACAUAUGGGCAAAAACGCGGCAAUCAUACAAGAGAUUCGAUUUAGAGCUUCUUCUUUCAUUUGUAAUUUAAUGUUUGAAGGUCGUGCGGCUAAUAGAGACGCACAUAAACUUGCUAAGUUUUCGCUUUCGUUAGGGCCGGGGCGCCAUGUGUGGUUAGGCCAACCCCAGGUCCCAACCCUAAGUUUUCGCUUUCGUUGGUGA